UAGGGAAUCUUCGGCAAUGGGGGGAACCCUGACCGAGCAACGCCGCGUGAGUGAAGAAGGUUUUCGGAUCGUAAAGCUCUGUUGUUAAGGAAGAACGAGUGUGAGAAUGGAAUGUUCAUGCUGUGACGGUACUUAACCAGAAAGGGACGGCUAACUACGUGCCAGCAGCCGCGGUAAUACGUAGGUCCCGAGCGUUGUCCGGAUUUAUUGGGCGUAAAGCGAGCGCAGGCGGUUAGAAAAGUCUGAAGUGAAAGGCAGUGGCUCAACCAUUGUAGGCUUUGGAAACUGUUUAACUUGAGUGCAGAAGGGGAGAGUGGAAUUCCAUGUGUAGCGGUGAAAUGCGUAGAUAUAUGGAGGAACACCGGUGGCGAAAGCGGCUCUCUGGUCUGUAACUGACGCUGAGGCUCGAAAGCGUGGGGAGCGAACAGG
Molecule: ribosomal RNA, 429 nt
Filed under: Bacteroidota bacterium
Lineage: Bacteria; Pseudomonadati; Bacteroidota
Description: Bacteroidetes bacterium partial 16S ribosomal RNA
Rfam family: Bacterial small subunit ribosomal RNA
Source: RNAcentral